RNAcentral lists this long non-coding RNA (1641 nucleotides) under Mytilus galloprovincialis (Mediterranean mussel). The record is from RNAcentral. Lineage: Eukaryota; Metazoa; Mollusca; Bivalvia; Mytilida; Mytilidae.
UAACCUUCCUGGUAAACCAGACGGGAAUGCAUUAUAUUUCAAAUUAAAAGGUAACUUUUAGAUUUAUGUGGUAUUUCAAAAAUAGAUGUAUUCUUCUCUAGAUACAUUAUCCAUUGUCCCUUAUACGAGGAUGACUUAAAAAUAUGAAAUUUAUAUACGUUUAUUUUUUUCAACUUUCGUUUUUGGCUCGUAUAGAACCAUGAUAACAUACACAUGUUUAUGAUUAUUUAUACCAUGUCCCAGUUCUGGGGCAAACUGUUGUCUUUGAUUUAUAAUUUCAUUGCUAUAAAAAAGGAUAUGAAUGGUACUAUACCAAUACUUGGAUCUUCAUAUACUAACCAUUGUACCAUGGAAGGCUACUAACACAACUUUAAUAAAUAUGCAUGGUGUACAUUGUUUCAAUACCCCAGCUUCUACAAAGGGGUCAGUCGACAAAACACCAAAGAAAUACCACCAAAUCGAAAGAAAAGUCCAAAUCUUGUAAUAAUAAAUAUAUCUUUAUAUGUGAAAAAAAGAACAAAUUUCCAAAUUUUAUUUGACAUAAUUGGUUACAACAUAAUGCAAAGAACCGUAACUCUUAUCCUUUUUGUGUAACAAUAUAAUAUGUAAUAAUAACUAAUAUAGUUUUUAAUUUAAACUCCUAAAAAGAAAAUAGGAAAAAAGAAACUUAACACAUUUGAUUCAAAACAUGUGUUUUCAAUCAAUAUAAUCAUUCAUUUUCGAAUUUUAAAACAUUUUUAAAUGGUUGCUAUGGAAACAAACUAUUUAGUAAAUUCAAAGUUUUAAACUUUUUUCGAAUAGUUUGGGGUUUUGUGCUGUUAACAUUUGUAAAUACCAUAUUGUUUUAUAUGAUUAACAAAAUUUCGAUGGGACUUUAAAUUCCCUUAUUUUCAAUUUCAAAAGUGUCUUUUUCACCUAUAUUCAGGCAAAAUGUUGUAUUGACGGUUACCAUGGCAAUGCACAUUAUACAGGAAAAAUAAUGACAAAAUUUACUCAUAUACCAAUGUUUUAUCAUAUAGGGCAAAACAAAUUAAUUCUGUGACAUGUCAUGAAUCACCCUCUGCAUGAUUUUUAAAAAUACAGGUACUUUAAACCCAAGUCAAAUUGAAUUCAAUUUUAGAAUAUUUACUUUUAAAGAUGGUACCACCGACUGCAAAACUAUUGUUAUGGCUAAUCAUUUAUCAUUGAUUCUAAUUUUGUAGUGUGUUUAAUGGCUGCAUCAUCUCAAAGCUGUGGUGUUUGUGACCUCCGUCACAUCACAAAACCAUGCAUAGUCUGGUGUACAGAAUGUGACGAGGGACUAUGUUCAGAUUGCAAGGAGCAUCAUAGUUUGUCUAAGUCAUCGAGAAGCCACAGUGUGAUACCUAUUGCCGAAUACCAGAAACUGCCAGCGGAUGUACUGAAAAUUACUCAGUAUUGUACCAGUCACGAUAAAAAAUAUCAAUUCUAUUGCCAGAAGCAUGAAUGUCCCUGCUGCAGCACAUGUAUCGUGGAAUGUCACAAAGAGUGCCGGGAAAUUGUCGAAUUAGAGAAUAUCAUUCGUAACGCCAAAUCCUCCAAUGCUAUGUGCGAGAUAGAGGAAUCAUUAGUUGAGAUAGCAGAAAAUCUAAAGAAGAUUCGCCAGCAUCAACAAGUCAAUCU